This 204-nucleotide long non-coding RNA is filed under the name Lathyrus oleraceus (garden pea). RNAcentral describes it as "Pisum sativum (pea) long non-coding RNA (PSAT_LNC017989)". The record is from RNAcentral. Lineage: Eukaryota; Viridiplantae; Streptophyta; Magnoliopsida; Fabales; Fabaceae.
AAUCAAAAUAUGUUAUCCUUGCUUAUGAACUAAUCACAACAAACAAUACAUAGAAAUCAAGUAUCAAAUAACAUAUUCAAUAUCAAAUUAUAGAAUUAUAACUUUGAAUCAAAGUGAUAUAAAAUUUUAUUUCCAAAGAAUACAAAUUUAAGAAAACUAACUAAAUUAGAGGGAUGGUUUAAGAAAAAUAAUUAUAAGUCAAAU